UAGCUGAAAACUCACCAAGAAUUGAAUUAUUCCAACAGAAUACAGGAAUUUUUCUCUCUUUAUGGUGACCAAAUCCUCACUGUGCUUCACAGGUGUUGGCUGUGAAGUUGUUAUCUCCCAGAAUGUACCACAGGAUAAGACUUCUGGCAACUAAAGCUCAAUUCUCUGUCUCACCAUGUUUGUGCUGGCGAGGCAGGGAGUGUUGUGUGUGAGUGGGUGGCAGGAAAUGUGAAGGAUGAGCUGUCAAGGAGUUCGGUGUGAGUGGGCUGCCUUCAUGUCCCUGAAUUUUGUCUGUCCAUAUAGCAGCUUUAUUUGAUCCUGCAGCAUUAUGCCAACCUUUGACAACUGGCACUGAGCCCUCAAGGGAACAGGAGCAAGUGUUUGUUUGUUUCAUUCUGCAAAGGCCAAUCCUCAAGGCAAGACAAAUGACAGUUCACUUUAAAGCUAAGCAGGAGCUAGAAGAAAUGUCCCUUAACUCCUGUGGCCCUGUUCAGGCCGUGUAAUGCCUGCUGCAAUAGGUCAGGCCCUCAGCUCUUCUAGGAACCCUUGUUGAUUUAUGUGGCCAAUAACACAGUC
This is a long non-coding RNA of Passer domesticus (house sparrow), 576 nucleotides long. RefSeq lists it as uncharacterized. Lineage: Eukaryota; Metazoa; Chordata; Aves; Passeriformes; Passeridae. The transcript has 3 exons. The record is from RefSeq and is a predicted model, not a curated record.